AACGAACGCUGGCGGCGCGCCUAAUACAUGCAAGUCGAGCGAGAAGGUGUAGCAAUACACUUGUAAAGCGGCGAACGGGUGAGGAAUGCAUGGGUAACCUACCCUCGAGUGGGGAAUAACUAGCCGAAAGGUUAGCUAAUACCGCAUACGUUUCCGGAACUUCGGUUUCGGAAAGAAAGCAAUACCGUGGGUAUUGCGCUCCUGGAUGGGCUCAUGUCCUAUCAGCUUGUUGGUGAGGUAACGGCUCACCAAGGCUUCGACGGGUAGCUGGUCUGAGAGGACGAUCAGCCACACUGGCACUGCGACACGGGCCAGACUCCUACGGGAGGCAGCAGCAAGGAAUAUUGCGCAAUGGACGAAAGUCUGACGCAGCGACGCCGCGUGGGGGAUGAAGGUCUUCGGAUUGUAAACCCCUUUCGGGAGGGAAGAUGGAGUGGGUAACCACUUGGACGGUACCUCCAGAAGCAGCCACGGCUAACUUCGUGCCAGCAGCCGCGGUAAU
RNAcentral lists this ribosomal RNA (502 nucleotides) under uncultured bacterium. Its description in RNAcentral is "bacterial SSU rRNA". It matches the Rfam family "Bacterial small subunit ribosomal RNA", at positions 29 to 524 of the family's 1533-position model. The record is from RNAcentral.